GCUCAGGAUGAACGCUAGCUACAGGCUUAACACAUGCAAGUCGAGGGGUAGCAGGGUAGCAAUACCGCUGACGACCGGCGCACGGGUGAGUAACACGUAUCCAACCUUCCCAUAACUCGGGGAUAGCCUUUCGAAAGAAAGAUUAAUACCCGAUAGUACUUAAGAAAGGCAUCUUUUUUAAGUUAAAGAUUUAUUGGUUAUGGAUGGGGAUGCGUUCCAUUAGAUAGUUGGUGAGGUAACGGCUCACCAAGUCUUCGAUGGAUAGGGGUUCUGAGAGGAAGGUCCCCCACAUUGGUACUGAGACACGGACCAAACUCCUACGGGAGGCAGCAGUGAGGAAUAUUGGUCAAUGGGCG
RNAcentral lists this ribosomal RNA (356 nucleotides) under uncultured Bacteroidales bacterium. RNAcentral's name for it is "bacterial SSU rRNA". It matches the Rfam family "Bacterial small subunit ribosomal RNA", at positions 22 to 377 of the family's 1533-position model. The record is from RNAcentral. Lineage: Bacteria; Pseudomonadati; Bacteroidota; Bacteroidia; Bacteroidales.